CUAUAUUUCCCAAGAAAAAAAGAGGACUAGUCAUAAACCAGCAGAGAGAGAAAUCUCAAAUCAGUGAAUUGCGGGGGGGUUAGCACGUCAACAAAUGGAGAAAAUCAAGAUAUAAGAGGGACUUAACUGAAUUAUGAAGCGAAUCUUCAGGGAAAAAAAAACAAACAGUUUUAGAGCUUUAUAUAUAUAUUCCAACUUAGGG
Molecule: long non-coding RNA, 202 nt
Filed under: Nicotiana benthamiana
Lineage: Eukaryota; Viridiplantae; Streptophyta; Magnoliopsida; Solanales; Solanaceae
Description: long non-coding RNA (NBEN_LNC031637)
Source: RNAcentral